AGUUCGGAUUGUAGGCUGCAACUCGCCUACAUGAAGUCGGAGUUGCUAGUAAUCGCGGAUCAGAAUGCCGCGGUGAAUGCGUUCCCGGGUCUUGUACACACCGCCCGUCACACCAUGGAAGUUGGGGGCGCCCGAAGUUGGUCGGGAAAUAGAUUACCUAAGGCGAAACCAAUGACUGGGGUGAAGUCGUAACAAGGUAUC
This 201-nucleotide ribosomal RNA is filed under the name uncultured bacterium. Its description in RNAcentral is "partial 16S ribosomal RNA". It matches the Rfam family "Bacterial small subunit ribosomal RNA", at positions 1290 to 1500 of the family's 1533-position model. The record is from RNAcentral.